UGACAGUUCGCCGUCAGUCUUUUAAGGGUCUGUCAAAUAUUGUUUUUUUACUACAUAUUUGAUGAUUCUAUUUGUAUUAAAUAUGAAAUGCGUUGAAUAGUCACCAUUUCACAUUAUGGAUUUCCCCUCAAAGUAAAGGGUAGAUGGCAGACCGCGACAAUCCAGCGGUGCCGUUCGCGGCGGGCUUCGUGCUGGGCGCCUUGGUUACUGUCCUCGGCUACAAGCUGUUCUCCAGAUGUCCGCCCGGGCAGACACACCAGGUCGGCGCUAAGGUCAAGUGCACCUGCAAGAAGGGAAGUAAAGAAGAGUGCAAGAUGCACUGCAUACGCGGUGACCACAAAUGUUCCUGAACUUCAUGACACGCAGUAAAGAUGAAGAAAUAAUCCGCCUGUCUCUGUGUUCUGCCAAAUUCUGUCACUUAUCUGUCAAUACUUGAACAAUAUCUGUCAAAUUAAAAUGUGUUCGUG
Molecule: long non-coding RNA, 467 nt
Organism: Papilio machaon (common yellow swallowtail)
Lineage: Eukaryota; Metazoa; Arthropoda; Insecta; Lepidoptera; Papilionidae
Exons: 3
Source: RefSeq, a predicted model, not a curated record